This 381-nucleotide ribosomal RNA is filed under the name Triticum aestivum (bread wheat). RNAcentral's name for it is "partial small subunit ribosomal RNA". Lineage: Eukaryota; Viridiplantae; Streptophyta; Magnoliopsida; Poales; Poaceae. The record is from RNAcentral.
AUGGCCACCACCGUCCAGCCCCACUCCCCGGACCCAACAGCCAUCACCACCACCCCUGCCCCACCCCCUCCCCCUUCUCCACCUCGCCAGGAGAACCCGACCGCCGCGGGGGAAGGCGUAGAGAUCGCGGCGCUCGAUGAGCAGCCUGCCGCCGUCGCCGUCGCCGACAAGGGGAAGACGGCCCCCGGCGGCGGGAAGCUGGUGGCGGAGGCCAUGCGCAAGUGCGCGGCGCCCCGGUCGUCGCGCUACCACGGCGUGACGAGGCUCAAGUGGAGCGGCAAGUACGAGGCACACCUCUGGGACAACACCAGCCAGGUUGAGGGGCGCAAGCGCAAGGGCAAGCAUGUGUACUUGGGUAACUUAUACUGUCUGCCAUCAUAG